RNAcentral lists this long non-coding RNA (4661 nucleotides) under Coffea arabica (coffee). RNAcentral's name for it is "long non-coding RNA (CARA_LNC007537)". The record is from RNAcentral. Lineage: Eukaryota; Viridiplantae; Streptophyta; Magnoliopsida; Gentianales; Rubiaceae.
UAGUAAUUAUGAAAAUUUAGUCGCCGAGAACAGCUGAUGAUUUGAGCUUAGUCCGCCGAGGGCUGGUGCCGGAGGAGUUGGAGGUGGUGGGUUAAUAAACGAAUAAAAGGGGAAAGUUGAUGCGUAAGGUAGUAAAAAUCUCACUGAUAAAGGCUCUCAAUCAGGGAUUGGAGAAUGGGAAGCCAAUCCGAGAAAGAGAGAAUUGAUGUAUUGAGAAUUAGGGAAAGGAAUACAAGAUGAAAUACAAUAGAAAGAAAUAUGAUUCUGAACUGCCUCUUCCUCCUAGCUCCCCUGCUUUUAUACCAAUCAUGCGCUGACCUUCCUUAUUCGUAUCCCAGCUGCUCAGCCGACUUUCCAUUUUGGUAACCACCUAACAGAAUCCAGUUGGCGUAACUAACUUGCAUGGCUCUUGCCUGCAUGGCCCAACCAAUUCGCAUGGAGCCAUUCCUAGCUGGCACUAACUCUGACGUGGCCUAACUAACUGCACUGACCUGAGCUUUAUUUCCACAUGGAUAUUUUAGUCACAACAAUACCCCCUCCUUCAAACAGUUCUUGCCCUCAAGAACUGAAAUGAGGAUAUCGCUGUUGGAGAUCAAACCAAUACUCCCAAGUAGCAUCCUCAGGGAAACUGUUACUCCACUGCACCAGCACCUGGGUCGCUGCAGUUCGACCCCUACGCACCAGUCUCCUAUCCAAGAUAGCCACAGGUUCCAUGAGCAACUGACCUUGAUCAGUGAUACAAGUAGGGAUGUGUGGUUGCACAGGUUGAUCACCCACAUGCUUCUUCAAUAGAGAGACAUGGAAGGUGGGGUGAAGCUUAACAUCUGGGGAAGAUGUAGCCUGUAGGCCACAGAACCCACCUUGUCCAAUAUCUGAAAUGGCCCAAAAUAUCGUGGAGAUAACUUCUGGCAAGAGUGACCCCUUAACGAAUGUUGUCUAUAUGGUUGAAGCUUGACAUACACCCAGUCCCCUUGCUCAAAAGUUCGUUCAGACCUGUGCUGAUCAGCCUGUUGUUUCAUUCGAUGUUGAGCUCGAUGCAGGUUAUGUUUCAAUAAGUGGAGAGCAGCUUCCCUUGCAGCCAAACUUCUGUCCACACUAUCAACAUGGGAGCUGCUUGGAAUGUAAGGGACGUGCAAGGGGGGAGGUUGUCCAUACACAAUCUCAUAGGGAGUACUCUUGAUGGCCGAGUGAAAAUUGGUAUUAUACCAGAAUUCUGCCAGGGGCAACCAAAAACACCAUUGUUUUGGUUGGUCACUACACAUACACCUUAGAUAGUGCUCCAAACACCUGUUAACCACCUCAGUCUGACCAUCUGACUGAGGGUGAUAAGCAGUAGACAAACAUAACUGAACUUUCAACAAUUGGAACAGCUCCUUCCAAAAAUGACUGACGAAGAUGGUGUCCCUAUCACUCACUAUGGUGCUAGGAAGGCCAUGGAGCCUAUAGAUGUUGUCCAGGAACACUUGAGCAACUAUCAGUGCCGUGUAAGGAUGUUUGAGAGGAAUAAAAUGAGCAUAUUUGCUGAGUCUGUCGACCACCACAAGGACAGUGUCCUUACCAUUAGAUUUAGGCAAUCCCUCCACAAAAUCCAUAGAUAUGUCCGACCAUACUUUCUCAGGAAUCUUCAAUGGUUGGAGCAAUCCAGGAUAUGCUACAUUUUCAACCUUGUGCCUUUGGCAAGUAUCACACGAAGCCACAAACUGUUCCACCUCCUUCUGCAUAUUCCUCCAGUACACCACCUCCUUGAGUUUCUUGUAGGUCACCUGUACUCCUGAGUGUCCCCAAUAGGGGAGUCAUGCCAUAAUUUGAUGAUUCUCUGCCUUAAGUCAGUAUCAUGCCCCACAACUAAUUUCCCUUUCCUCCUCAAUUGUUGAUGCUGAUAAGUGUAGUGUGUAAGCUGGUGAUUGUACGUAGGAUCUUGCAGUUGCUGUAUCAGCAAUUGCAGCUGGGGAUCUUGAACACAGCUGUUAUGGAUCUCAGUAAGCAAAGCUGACUUAAUGACUGAAAUUGGAGCUAGUGUUGCUGCAUCGGGGUUAGGCUGACGAGACAAUGCAUCAGCCACCACAUUGUCUACCCCCUUCCUGUAUUGAAGCUUGUAGUCAUACCCCAUAAGUUUCGCCACCCAUUUCUGCUGCAUAGGUGUAGACACUCUCUGUUCAAUCAGAUAUUUAAGACUCUGAUGAUCAGUUCUGAUGAUAAAGUGUCUUCCUAACAGAUAAGGUCUCCAUUUCUGCACUGCACUCACAAUGGCGAGCAUCUCCUUCUCAUACACAGAGAGGCCUCUGUGCUUAGUAGCCAAGCCUUGGCUGAAAUAAGCUAAUGGUCUCCCCUUCUGACACAGGACUGCCCCUAUGCCCUCACUUGAGGCAUCUGUCUCCACUUCAAAUGUCUGUGAGAAGUCAGGUAAUGCCAGCACAGGUGGGGAGCUCAUGACCAACUUCAACCUGGAAAAAGCUUCUGUGGCUUGAUCUGUCCAAGUGAAGUUGUUCUUUUUGAGUAGCUCUGUCAGAGGUUUAGCCAGUUUCCCAAAGUCCUUUAUAAACCUCCUGUAGUAUUCUGCUAACCCCAGAAAUCCCCUUAAUGCCUUGAGGGUUGAAGGAAUAGGCCAUUGCUGGAUAGCUUGCACCUUUUGAGGGUCUGCCUGCACUCCCUGUCCUGAGAUCACAUGUCCCAAGUAAGCUACCUGCGUUUGGGCAAAAGAGCACUUGCUCUGCUUCACCUUCAAGCUAUGGUGCCUCACAACCUGACAAAGAUUAGCUGUUGGUCCCUCUGUUGCUGACUGCACAGGCACCAGGAAACAUAGCUGAGCAGAAGCAAUCUGCUCUGGUUUGUGUAGAAUCCUCUGCAUGGUCCUUCUUUUCACCAACUGUAUAGCCUGCUGACCCUUGCCCUUAACACAACUCUCCUUUUACCACUGAGAAAUUCCAUCUUUAAUUCCUCAAAGUUCCACUUGAUAUCACCUAGAGUUGAUAGCCAUUGCACCCCCAACACCAGAUCACAGCCCCCCACCAGCAGUACCAUGGCAUCAGUCUUGAAGGUUUGGUUCUGCAACUUCCAAGUAAAACCAGCACACAAUGUGUUAGUGGUGAUCUUGUUGCCAUCUGCUACUUCUACCACCAGAGGUGGUACUCUCUGCACUCUCAACCCCAAUUUAUUGACUAAAUCUGGGUGGACAAAGUUGUGCGAACUCCCACAAUCUAUGAAAAUGUUGACUGGGGUCUUUCCCACAUGGCCAGUCACCCUCAUUGUUCUAAAAUUAGGAAUAGCAGUUAAGGUCAUGGCAUUUAAGGAAAUAUAAGCCAAAUUACCUUGUGAGACUUCACCCUCCUCCUCGGAUUCCACCUCUACUUCCUCAUCCUCCUCCUCUGUACACACUUCCAAUCGAAAUAAUUGCCUGUUCUUGCAUCUGUGGCCAACUCCAAAUUUCUCAUCACACCAGAAACAGAGGCCUUUUGCCCUCUUUUCAUCCAUCUCUGCGGAUGACAACCUCCUAAAUGGUUUCCUGGUGUAUUCCUCUGCAGUUUUUCCACCUUUAGCCUGGUUAGGGGUGGGCAGAAGUGCCUUACCAUCUCUCCCCCAAUUUCGUUCAAAGCUGUUUUCCUUCCUCCAGGGAGUUUCAAAACUCUUGUCUCCUCUCCACCUAUCUGUCAUAUUGGGAUGGAAGCCUGGCCUGUUCACCCCCUUCUUCUGCUGAGCUAGAAUCUUAGCUUCUUCCAGCUUAGCUAGUGUCCUAGCAUGUUGUAGUGUUUUAGGCAUGAACAUCCUCACGGCUAAUUGUAUUUCUGUUUUUAGACCACUGAGGAAACAGCUGGUGGCAUAAUCUUCAGGCAGAUCCACCCUGUUCAACAAUUCCUCAAACUGCUCCUGGUACUCCAACACUGAUCCUUCUUGUUUCAAUGCCUUCAGCUCUCCCAUCGGAUCAUCAUACAAACAACCUCCAAACCUGGAUGCCAACUCCUUGAUGUAUUCCUCCCAGGCAGGCAAUUCCCUGGUGAUGCGAGAUCUCAUGAAGAUCUGGUGCCAUUGGAGAGCUUUUCCCUCCAAGUUCAUAGCAACCAUUUUUACCUUCACAUGAUUAGGCGUCUCAUCUACAUCAAAAAAUUGUUCAAUCUUAAACAGCCAUCCCUGGAAAUCUUCUCCAUGGAACCUGGGAAACUCCAAGCGAGAGAAACGCGUGGGGGCUUGAUAACUCCUUCCUUGGGAAACUUCAUUGUCAGAGGGAGAGUUCCUUGCGGAUUCCCCCCUCUGAGAGUGCAACUCCAGUACCAGAUUCCUGAGAGCUGCCAUCUCCUGCUCGAAUUGUUCCUUCUGCUCCUUCAUCAUGGCCUUGACGCUCUCCUCUAGCCUCCUGUUAUCUUGAGAUCUAGUACCUUCCGCCAUUGUUACUUGAGCUGGUUUUACCCAGCUCUGAUACCACUGAUGCGUAAGGUAGUAAAAAUCUCACUGAUAAAGGCUCUCAAUCAGGGAUUGGAGAAUGGGAAGCCAAUCCGAGAAAGAGAGAAUUGAUGUAUUGAGAAUUAGGGAAAGGAAUACAAGAUGAAAUACAAUAGAAAGAAAUAUGAUUCUGAACUGCCUCUUCCUCCUAGCUCCCCUGCUUUUAUACCAAUCAUGCGCUGACCUUCCUUAUUCGUAUCCCAGCUGCUCAGCCGACUUUCCAUUUU